This 76-nucleotide transfer RNA is filed under the name Pseudomonas taiwanensis. RNAcentral describes it as "tRNA-Phe". It matches the Rfam family "tRNA". Rfam says of the family: Transfer RNA (tRNA) molecules are approximately 80 nucleotides in length. The record is from RNAcentral. Lineage: Bacteria; Pseudomonadati; Pseudomonadota; Gammaproteobacteria; Pseudomonadales; Pseudomonadaceae.
GCAGUGAUAGCUCAGUUGGUAGAGCGAUGGUUUGAAACGCCAUGCGUCACAGGUUCGAUUCCUGUCCACUGCACCA